AUUGAACGCUGGCGGCAGGCUUAACACAUGCAAGUCGAGCGGGGGAGGUUGCUUCGGUAACUGACCUAGCGGCGGACGGGUGAGUAAUACUUAGGAAUCUGCCUAUUAAUGGGGGACAACAUCUCGAAAGGGAUGCUAAUACCGCAUACGCCCUACGGGGGAAAGCAGGGGAUCACUUGUGACCUUGCGUUAAUAGAUGAGCCUAGGUCGGGUUAGCUAGUUGGUGGGGUAAAGGCCUACCAAGGCGACGAUCUGUAGCGGGUCUGAGAGGAUGAUCCGCCACACUGGGACUGAGCCCCGACCCAGACUCCUACGGGAGGCAGCAGUGGGGAAUAUUGGACAAUGGGGGGAACCCUGAUCCAGCCAUGCCGCGUGUGUGAAGAAGGCCUUAUGGUUGUAAAGCACUUUAAGCGAGGAGGAGGCUCUUUUGGUUAAUACCCAAGAUGAGUGGACGUUACUCGCAGAAUAAGCACCGGCUAACUCUGUGCCAGCCGCCGCAGUAA
RNAcentral lists this ribosomal RNA (503 nucleotides) under uncultured bacterium. RNAcentral describes it as "partial 16S ribosomal RNA". It matches the Rfam family "Bacterial small subunit ribosomal RNA", at positions 30 to 523 of the family's 1533-position model. The record is from RNAcentral.